GAGAGCUGUCCUUCAUGACAACAGAACCCAUAACAACCAUGACUUUUAUCACCUUCUUCAUCUGGACACUUGCCCUCUGUCUCCAAGAGUCCAGAGGCCAGGUCACUGUGACUCAGACUCCUGCAGUGAAAACUAUUUCAGUGGGUGACUUAGUCAGUCUCAGCUGCAAGACCAGCAGUGCAGUAUACAGUGAUGGAUAUGGACAGAGGUUGGCCUGGUAUCAACAGAAACUCGGAGAAUCUCCUAAACUCCUUACAUAUUUAAUUAGUACCCGUAACUCUGGGAUACCAUCUAGAUUCAGUGGCAGUGGAUCUGGGAGUGACUUCACUCUGACCAUCAGUGGAGUCCUGGCUGAAGAUGCAGGAGAUUACUACUGUCAGAGUUACGACAGUGGUGGAGUAUUCACACAGUGAUACAGAGAUGUACAAAAACCUCCCUCAGUCAGACUGCACAGUGACUGUACUGCUACAACUGGGACCUACUGCAGGUGCUGAGGGGGAAGACAGUGACAUGGAACACUGAUCAGUAGGGGAGGUAAAGUUUGAAAACAGAAAGAAUCAUACGUUCUCCAACAUUGUCAUCAUCAUCGUCAUCAUCAUCAUCAUUGUUGUAACUUGUUAUAUUGGACAUGAACUGAAAGUGUAUAUAAAGUUAUUUGUAGUUUUGGAAGACAARACCAGUCCAGAUGUAGAGUAAGAUGUACAGAAGUAAAAAGAAAAGUAUCAGCCCCCCAAACCAAUUCCCUACAUGCACUUCACCACCAGUUAUUGAUGUGAUCAUCUAGCAUGUAUUAACCCUUUUCAUGAGCUGUUAGAUCUGUGAAUGAGACAUGAUGCUGGGCUCAAACAUGACACAUUUAUGUAGAGACAUACACUACACACCAUUAUCAUAAAGUAUAAUAUCUGUUUUAUCUGUCAUUAAUUACAUGGUGGUAUAUCUGUAAUGUCUCCUGCCCUGAAUCCACCAUCAAUGUUAAAAACCAGUCCACUCCCUCACAUCUGACCCAGUCCAGGGAACAGUGAAACAGGUCAACUGCAAGACUGAUAGCUGUGGGAUUGAAACAGAUUUGCAUAGACAGGGCUGGUUGGUUCUGCUUGUCCCAAAACAAAGCUGCACUAUGACCAGAUGUUCACCCUGUUCCCAGGGGUUUGGAGGUAGAGAAGACCAGGGAAAAUAUAAUGGAGAAGUGUUGACCACACAUUGUUGAAAACCAUUGAAAAAACAUCUAAUUUAAUAAAAACAUAUUAGGAAUUAAUCAUGAUAAAUAUAUGUGUUAUGGAAAGCAACCUUUGAGCAGUGUGUGUUAUGAUUUUAUUAUUGGUACAUAAAGUUGGUGGUAUGUGAACAACUCUCAAACUUUGGUGACUGCCCUCCACUAAUCUGUCCACAGACAUUAUUAAAAAGAAACAGCCUGAAAGUCUUA
This is a non-coding RNA of Salvelinus sp. IW2-2015, 1423 nucleotides long. The record is from RefSeq and is a predicted model, not a curated record. NCBI's taxonomy places the organism in Eukaryota, Metazoa, Chordata, Actinopteri, Salmoniformes, Salmonidae.